RNAcentral lists this long non-coding RNA (665 nucleotides) under Solanum tuberosum (potato). RNAcentral describes it as "long non-coding RNA (STUB_LNC007331)". Lineage: Eukaryota; Viridiplantae; Streptophyta; Magnoliopsida; Solanales; Solanaceae. The record is from RNAcentral.
UGGAGCCCAAGGCUUAGCUCUAGUGGCAAAAGGUGGAGGAUUUGUGGCUUAGGUCGCAGGUUCAAGCCCCACACCAUGCAAAGCGAAGGCCGAUAUUUAAGUGGACCCCAAGGCUUAGCUCUAGUGGCAAAAGGUGGAGGAUUUGUGGCUUAGGUCUCAGGUUCAAGCCCCACACCAUGCAAAGCGAAUCCCAGUAUUUAAGUGGAGUCCAAGGCUUAGCUCUAGUGGCAAAAAGUGUAGGAUUUGUGGCUUAGGUCGCAAGUUCAAGCCCCACACCAUGCAAAGCGAAUCCCAGUAUUUAAGUGGAGUCCAAGGCUUAGCUCUAGUGGCAAAAGGUGGAGGAUUUGUGGCUUAGGUCGCAGGUUCAAGCCCCACACCAUGCAAAGCGAAUCCCAGUAUUUAAGUGGAGUCCAAGGCUUAGCUCUAGUGGCAAAAAGUGUAGGAUUUGUGGCUUAGGUCGCAAGUUCAAGCCCCACACCAUGCAAAGCAAAGCCCGGUAUUUAAGUGGAUCCCAAGGUUUAGCUCUAGUGGAAAAAGGUGGAGGAUUUGUGGCUUAGGUCGCAGGCUCAAGCCCCACACCACGCAAAGCGAAGCUCGGUAUUUAAGUGGAUCCCAAGGCUUAGCUCUAGUGGCAAAAGGUGGAGGAUUUGUGGCUUAGGUCGCAG